This is an RNA transcript of Megalopta genalis, 2381 nucleotides long. RefSeq lists it as uncharacterized. NCBI's taxonomy places the organism in Eukaryota, Metazoa, Arthropoda, Insecta, Hymenoptera, Halictidae. The record is from RefSeq and is a predicted model, not a curated record.
AAAAAGAUGAAACGGUUGCAUAAAAUUCUACCUUCAACACAAAUUUUCAUCUUCCUCGUAAGUACCAACGUCAACAAAUUUAUGAAUGGGGUGCACAGGGAAAAUAAUUGGCCAGUAGAGAAGAAUUCUUGAGGAACUGCCGAUUCCAUACGGUAAUGCGUGCGAAGCUUAAAAACGUGAUCGGCCGAACAGUGCUUGACUUUGACAGUUAUCGUUCGACCGUCGUAGACGAUGGACGUCGCAUAAUGCUGCGAAAUUCCCGAGCAACCUGUCCGAUGGUGGCCGUGAAAACGUCGUAUGACGUCAAUGUCACUACGCUCAGAAUGAAACUGAAUAACGUCUUGCGGUGAUAAAAUUACCAAUGGACGUAUCACGUAAUACUGUAACGUGACAUAACUCCUUCUACCAAACCGUGCGCUGAAACACGAAGUGAAAUGACCACGGAAGCAUCCGAAACCAGAAAUUGGAAUAAACAGGCGCUAACGCUUGACACGGACAGAUUUCACCCUCGCCAAUGUUAUACGCCAAGAUUUUCUCGUCUAGUGUGCCCGUUCCGAUGCCCAACAGAAGACUCGAACCAGAGAAAAUCCAAUGACGUCUUCGAACGUGUGGGCGUCACAGAAGGGGAUUUCGCCAGACCACCUGUAGCGAGCAGGAAGUAUCAACGAAAUGCCGGAUCGUUUUGCAUUGUCCGCAGGAACUCUAAGGCUGUGGGACGAGAUCGUUAUUUUUUUUAUCUUCGUUUCGAUGAUAAUCGGGACCCUGACCCGGAAUGUACGUGGACAGUUGUGUACGGCGGGGAUCCCGGAAAUUUUUGGAAUUCUUGGCAUUAGUUUCAAGUCUUCAUGUGAUGAGCACAAAAUGUAUACGUCAUUGGAAUGGUUAUUUGAGUGGUGAACAAUAAUUUCCGGAUUUGGGUUUAAGACGUCACUUCACGAGGAUAAAACGUUAUAAUAUUUGAAUAGUCAAUGGUGGAAAGUACAGCAAACAGUAAUGUACAGAAAGAUUGGAAUGACGAAAAUGAUCUGGAAUGUUUAUAGUCGUAAUAGAUAUUUAUCCUGUUCCUAGAUUAGAAUUGCAAUGUGGUGGAGUGGACAAUUAUGACUAGAUAAGUAUAAGGAUAAUUAUGCGAUAGCUACGUCGAUGUUUCUUUUUUUCAAUAAUUUUAACAAGUUGAAAAUAGUACUUUGAUGUUCUUGAAUUCCUUUAAUAUCUUUGCUGUUUUAUAUUGCAUAAACUCAUCCUUUGAGUCUAAUUAAUAAUACUGAUAAAUAAUGCAAUAGUAAAUAAUAAUAAUUUGGCUAUAUCUCAGAUGCCUUCCGGCAAGAACCGGUUGCAGAUAGUAUCACUUAAAAUUCGACUAUAAAAUAAUUAUUUUUGGCUACUUUUUUAUACCAAUACAGAUUUCUUCGCUAUAUUAAUAUUUAAUUUGCUCUAUUGGUGUUAAAUUGAGAAUUUUUCCAUAUGAAUGCUUCUUAUAAAACAUACGUCAGUAUAAUAGAAAUUGUUAAGAAAUGAAAUAAUGUUAUCUGAUCCUACUUCACGAAUGGUAUCGAGAAAUACCAAUUUGAAGCUUGAAGUAUGAUUCAGUUUUACAUUGCGUUAGAUUUUUAGUUGUUUCAUUGCAGACGAAACCGACAAAAAAAUGGCAACUAGCAAAGGAUUGGACAGGAGGGAGUAACAGUUUCAUAAUAGUGACUUUGCAGGAAUAUGCGUUUUUUUCUAAACGACAGUAACUUUCGAAUCGGAAGCUUUUAAGAUUUAAAAUUGGAUUUGUUGGACUCUACUCACACAUCGCAUCAGAGGGAAUAUAGGAAUCGGUGAUCAAGUUAAAGGACUUCAUCUGUGAGUUAAAUUUUAUAACGUGUAGUGAGAACCAUCGAUCAUUCGUACGUUGACAUCCUAAAUUGAUCUAAAUAAUGGAUGGUACAUUAACUCUUUGUUGACAAAUUAUUUUACAGCGUUUGUCUUUUAUUACUUAUAAUUAUAUCUCCCCCCCCCCUCACAAGGGACACGCGUUCAAUCAAUUAAUACCUAAAAAAUACGUGGAUGUUAUUAACAAUCAGACGGUGCUUCGUGGCUCGGAUCCAUUUGGACUGUGAUCGUGAGUAUAAAUCUUGUUAUUUGACUAUCUAGUUUCUGAACAUUCAUUUAAAAUUUGUGUGUGUUUCAUUAAGGUUUAUAGAAAAACGUGUCCACGAGGAGUACUUUAAAAAAAUAAAAUCAUCAAUCAUUCUAUGCAUUCUUAAGGUGCACCGUUUGAGUGUCAAACUAGAUAUAUUUUAGUUAAAUGAAGUAUCACUUUCUACACGUUUGUAAUUUUAUAUUGUUUUCAACAGUAAAUAUAGCAUUCUGAGCACAUUUUGAACUUUGACUGCAAA